Helianthus annuus (common sunflower) is the source of this 944-nucleotide long non-coding RNA. RefSeq lists it as uncharacterized. The transcript is spliced from 3 exons. NCBI's taxonomy places the organism in Eukaryota, Viridiplantae, Streptophyta, Magnoliopsida, Asterales, Asteraceae. The record is from RefSeq and is a predicted model, not a curated record.
AUGGAACGAAAAUGUGUAAGUAUGUAUUAGAUUAUGUAUUUGAAAGAAACUAAUAGUGUGUUAUGUGCAAGGUAAGCUUAAGAUCUUGAAGAGGAUGAUCCGUGAAUACAGAAUGGGAUGAACGCUAAGGCGGGCAAAGGUGCAAAUAGGCAAAUUAACCCCAGAAAUCCUGAUGCAAUGAAUCUACCGAGAACGGUGAAAGAAUGCUCAUGAAUGAAAGCUCAUGAUACCAGAUGGACAAGAUCAACCCUGUUAAGAUACGGAUUCGUGAAGGAGCGAGUCAACUCGGGUUGUUACACGUUGGUCGGUGCCAAAUUAGCAAGCAUUAGGGAUCAUGUGGACGUGGACUCAAGCACGAAAGACUAACGGGUCAAGAUGAGGCAAGCAAGCGGGUAUGAACACGGAUGCACAAGGUAAGUGAUUCCGUAAUCACUUCUUAGUUAUUUAUGUAAAGUUAUAUGCAACUUAACUAGGUAUGAUAAUUGAGGUCGAAUAGGAACAAAUGGUAUGAUAUCGAUGAAGUAUUAAACGGAUCUCAGCUUUGAUCCGAGCAAGGUAUGAGUGAUUGAGAAUCGUAACUAGGUAGUAGGAUUGGUUGCUUAUGCAAGGUAGUGCUUGUUGUUAAUAAUGGGGCAAGGUUGACAAAAACGCCCUUGGUGGGGAUUUCGGGUAAACGACCUUAAAAGUCAAUUGGAAGUGAGUUAUUCGAUUAGAGUAAUGUCUUUGUCUAUUAUGAAAGUGAAGUAUAGAGUUUUGUAUGUUAUAGACCUUUUAAUGUAUAAAUACCCAUAACGGGUCGAAUAAUUCAUAAGUGAAUAACAAGCCGAUAGUGUAAGUUAAGAAUUUCCUUAAUCCGGAUAUGGGAUUUUAAGUUCAUAUGAUAGAAUGUGAAUUUACAAGCAUGUAGGAAGAAACGGGAGGUUAAACGGGUAAACGGUUCAAAA